GUGAGGAAUAUUGGUCAAUGGGCGGGAGCCUGAACCAGCCAAGUCGCGUGAAGGAAGAAGGAUCUAUGGUUCGUAAACUUCUUUUGCAGGGGAAUAAAGUGCAGGACGUGUCCUGUUUUGUAUGUACCCUGAGAAUAAGGAUCGGCUAACUCCGUGCCAGCAGCCGCGGUAAUACGGAGGAUCCGAGCGUUAUCCGGAUUUAUUGGGUUUAAAGGGUGCGUAGGUGGUUUGAUAAGUCAGCGGUGAAAGUUUGCAGCUUAACUGUAAAAAUGCCGUUGAAACUGUCGGACUUGAGUGUAAAUUAGGUAGGCGGAAUGCGUGGUGUAGCGGUGAAAUGCAUAGAUAUCACGCAGAACUCCGAUUGCGAAGGCAGCUUACUAAGCUACAACUGACACUGAAGCACGAAAGCGUGGGGAGCGAACAGGAUUAGAUACCCCUGUAGUCC
RNAcentral lists this ribosomal RNA (445 nucleotides) under uncultured bacterium. RNAcentral describes it as "partial 16S ribosomal RNA". It matches the Rfam family "Bacterial small subunit ribosomal RNA", at positions 354 to 796 of the family's 1533-position model. The record is from RNAcentral.